Molecule: long non-coding RNA, 365 nt
Organism: Hemicordylus capensis (graceful crag lizard)
Lineage: Eukaryota; Metazoa; Chordata; Lepidosauria; Squamata; Cordylidae
Exons: 4
Source: RefSeq, a predicted model, not a curated record
GUAGGGCCAGGAGUGUGACUUCAUCUUAGUUGAAGGUUUUACAAUGUUUUUGGUGUUCAACAUCAGGAAGUUCUACCUUGUGGUUUGGAAUAUAGAUCUGACUGAUACAUCUACCCUCCUCGCCACCAUCAUCACUCCAAAAUCAGACAAGCAAAGCAAGUCAAAAGACUGCAACAGUAACAGAAGCAAUCUUCACUCCAUCCCCACCCUCCACCCAACCCCUCACCAUAACUGGUUUUCUGAACUGGCCUAUAAAGAGAAGCCUAGAAAGCAGACAAGAGAAAGUCAGAUGUCUCCGCUGGUGGCAUACAUGGCAACUGAAAACUCUGUGGAGGAAUCUGAUAUACCAUGCAAUGGGAAAUUAC